GCCGAUGUGGCUCAGUGGUAGAGCAGCUGAUUCGUAAUCAGCAGGUCGCCGGUUCAAAUCCGGCCAUCGGCUCCA
RNAcentral lists this transfer RNA (75 nucleotides) under Syntrophomonas sp. RNAcentral's name for it is "tRNA-Thr". It matches the Rfam family "tRNA". From Rfam's summary of the family: Transfer RNA (tRNA) molecules are approximately 80 nucleotides in length. Their secondary structure includes four short double-helical elements and three loops (D, anti-codon, and T loops). RNAcentral also lists the same sequence under 1 other name. The record is from RNAcentral. Lineage: Bacteria; Bacillati; Bacillota; Clostridia; Eubacteriales; Syntrophomonadaceae.